GAUGAACGCUGGCGGCGUGCCUAAUACAUGCAAGUCGAGCGAACGGACGAGAAGCUUGCUUCUCUGAUGUUAGCGGCGGACGGGUGAGUAACACGUGGAUAACCUACCUAUAAGACUGGGAUAACUUCGGGAAACCGGAGCUAAUACCGGAUAAUAUUUUGAACCGCAUGGUUCAAAAGUGAAAGACGGUCUUGCUGUCACUUAUAGAUGGAUCCGCGCUGCAUUAGCUAGUUGGUAAGGUAACGGCUUACCAAGGCAACGAUGCAUAGCCGACCUGAGAGGGUGAUCGGCCACACUGGAACUGAGACACGGUCCAGACUCCUACGGGAGGCAGCAGUAGGGAAUCUUCCGCAAUGGGCGAAAGCCUGACGGAGCAACGCCGCGUGAGUGAUGAAGGUCUUCGGAUCGUAAAACUCUGUUAUUAGGGAAGAACAUAUGUGUAAGUAACUGUGCACAUCUUGACGGUGCCUAAUCAGAAAGCCACAGCUAACUACGUG
RNAcentral lists this ribosomal RNA (497 nucleotides) under uncultured bacterium. RNAcentral's name for it is "partial 16S ribosomal RNA". It matches the Rfam family "Bacterial small subunit ribosomal RNA", at positions 28 to 507 of the family's 1533-position model. The record is from RNAcentral.